AUUGAUCUUAAGUUUCAUCUUCUUCGUCUUCGACUUCGUAGUUUCCAUCUCCGUCUCCUUCGUCCGCCAUCGAUUUCUAACCCUUUGUCACCGCCUCAAGGUAUGCCGAUGCGCUCUGAUUCUUUUGUCUUGAAUGUGAUUGGAUGAUAAUGAUUGUUUUGUGUUGAAAUUGUGAUAUAUGAGGAAUGUAAUGUGUUGUAGUUUGCUGCGAGAGUUGUAUUCUGUGCAUUGUGUGUUGUGCUAAGCACUACUUGUAUUAGAUUUUCAGCAUAUAGAUGGUGGUCCUUUCUCUACGUAGCCUCCUCUGGUUAGAUUUCUUAGCCUAUUAGUGGAAUUGUGCAAGUCUGUUGCGUAGUAAGCAUAUUGGGCACUAUUUGUUGUAUCGACAGGGUACUGAACAAGGUUCCCAUCAUUUUGCAUUUUGAGGCAGAAAAUCCCGAAUAAAUCAUCUGCUUCUGAGGCACUCGAGAAAAACUCUUGUCCAGCUGAUAUAUGCU
This 497-nucleotide long non-coding RNA is filed under the name Solanum tuberosum (potato). RNAcentral describes it as "long non-coding RNA (STUB_LNC011211)". Lineage: Eukaryota; Viridiplantae; Streptophyta; Magnoliopsida; Solanales; Solanaceae. The record is from RNAcentral.